RNAcentral lists this transfer RNA (72 nucleotides) under Mycolicibacterium thermoresistibile. Its description in RNAcentral is "tRNA-Pro(cgg)". The record is from RNAcentral. Lineage: Bacteria; Bacillati; Actinomycetota; Actinomycetes; Mycobacteriales; Mycobacteriaceae.
GCCGCGGUCGGCCGGGGAGGUGGCGGCCGCACUCGGUCUGUGGUUCAUCGGGUUCCAGUCCCGGCCGGGACU